AGAGCGAACGCUGGCGGCAGGCCUAACACAUGCAAGUCGAACGGAUCCUUCGGGAUUAGUGGCGGACGGGUGAGUAGCACGUGGGAACGUGCCCUUUGGCUCGGAACAACUCAGGGAAACUUGAGCUAAUACCGGAUAAGCCUUUCGAGGGAAAGAUUUAUCGCCAUUGGAGCGGCCCGCGUAGGAUUAGCUAGUUGGUGAGGUAAAAGCUCACCAAGGCGACGAUCCUUAGCUGGUCUGAGAGGAUGAUCAGCCACAUUGGGACUGAGACACGGCCCAAACUCCUACGGGAGGCAGCAGUAGGGGAAGUCUUAGCGCAAGUGGGCGAAGCCUGACGCAGCCAUGCCGCGUGAAC
RNAcentral lists this ribosomal RNA (355 nucleotides) under uncultured soil bacterium. RNAcentral describes it as "bacterial SSU rRNA". It matches the Rfam family "Bacterial small subunit ribosomal RNA", at positions 26 to 406 of the family's 1533-position model. The record is from RNAcentral.